Molecule: transfer RNA, 111 nt
Filed under: Testicularia cyperi
Lineage: Eukaryota; Fungi; Basidiomycota; Ustilaginomycetes; Ustilaginales; Anthracoideaceae
Rfam family: tRNA
About the family: Transfer RNA (tRNA) molecules are approximately 80 nucleotides in length.
Source: Rfam by way of RNAcentral
AGCUUCUUAGCGCAGUAGGUAGCGCGUUGGGCUCAUACGAGACUCUCUUGCCUUUCCACUCUUCUGAGUGGUGCAACCCAAAGGUCGUCGGAUCGAAACCGACAGAAGCUA